AAACGUUUUCGAAUAAGGU
RNAcentral lists this microRNA (19 nucleotides) under Schistosoma mansoni. Its description in RNAcentral is "sma-miR-8424-3p". Lineage: Eukaryota; Metazoa; Platyhelminthes; Trematoda; Strigeidida; Schistosomatidae. The record is from miRBase by way of RNAcentral.